This 492-nucleotide ribosomal RNA is filed under the name uncultured bacterium. Its description in RNAcentral is "partial 16S ribosomal RNA". It matches the Rfam family "Bacterial small subunit ribosomal RNA", at positions 29 to 507 of the family's 1533-position model. The record is from RNAcentral.
AGUGAACGCUGGCGGUAGGCCUAACACAUGCAAGUCGAACGGCAGCACAGUAAGAGCUUGCUCUUACGGGUGGCGAGUGGCGGACGGGUGAGGAAUACAUCGGACUCUACUUUUUCGUGGGGGAUAACGUAGGGAAACUUACGCUAAUACCGCAUACGACCUACGGGUGAAAGCAGGGGAUCUUCGGACCUUGCGCGAUUGAAUGAGCCGAUGUCGGAUUAGCUAGUUGGCGGGGUAAAGGCCCACCAAGGCGCCGAUCCGUAGCUGGUCUGAGAGGAUGAUCAGCCACACUGGAACUGAGACACGGUCCAGACUCCUACGGGAGGCAGCAGUGGGGAAUAUUGGACAAUGGGCGCAAGCCUGAUCCAGCCAUACCGCGUGGGUGAAGAAGGCCUUCGGGUUGUAAAGCCCUUCUGUUGGGAAAGAAAAGCAGCAGGUUAAUACCCCGCUGUUCUGACGGUACCCAAAGAAUAAGCACCGGCUAACUUCGUG